UAAGCUUUAGUUUAUAUAGAAUUCUCAACUGUUAAUUGAGAGGAGAUUAAAAUCAAGUUUAG
This 62-nucleotide transfer RNA is filed under the name Marcia recens. RNAcentral's name for it is "tRNA-Asn". The record is from RNAcentral. Lineage: Eukaryota; Metazoa; Mollusca; Bivalvia; Venerida; Veneridae.